Molecule: long non-coding RNA, 355 nt
Filed under: Coturnix japonica (Japanese quail)
Lineage: Eukaryota; Metazoa; Chordata; Aves; Galliformes; Phasianidae
Description: lncRNA (ENSCJPG00005000910.1)
Source: RNAcentral
UUCAGUUUCAUUACUGUUUUCUUCCUUUUGUGAACAGAGCUAAGCAAAGAGCUAUGGAAUGACCUUCAAAUUGUGUGAAAACAAACUUGUGUCAACACAAAACUGAAUGAGAAAAGAGCGUGUGUGCCUGAGCAUUUCUGAAUGAACAGUGUGGAGAUGUCCACUCCCACUGGCUCCAGGACUGGAUAUCCCACGGCACACCAUGCAGCCAUCUGCUGGCAUCUCUGCAUCUGUUUGGAUGCUGACACGUGGAUAGGAAGGCAGUAUCUGGUGCUGUAUGUGAAGACAUGACUGAGCAGAAAAUUGAAGGGGGAGGAGGGAAGCCCAAAAUUCUGGUAACAUACCAAGUGAUGGA